CAUGCAGUCGAGCGAACUGAUUAGAAGCUUGCUUCUAUGACGUUAGCGGCGGACGGGUGAGUAACACGUGGGCAACCUGCCUGUAAGACUGGGAUAACUUCGGGAAACCGAAGCUAAUACCGGAUAGGAUCUUCUCCUUCAUGGGAGAUGAUUGAAAGAUGGUUUCGGCUAUCACUUACAGAUGGGCCCGCGGUGCAUUAGCUAGUUGGUGAGGUAACGGCUCACCAAGGCAACGAUGCAUAGCCGACCUGAGAGGGUGAUCGGCCACACUGGGACUGAGACACGGCCCAGACUCCUACGGGAGGCAGCAGUAGGGAAUCUUCCGCAAUGGACGAAAGUCUGACGGAGCAACGCCGCGUGAGUGAUGAAGGCUUUCGGGUCGUAAAACUCUGUUGUUAGGGAAGAACAAGUACAAGAGUAACUGCUUGUACCUUGACGGUACCUAACCAGAAAGCCACGGCUAACUACGUGCCAGCAGCCGCGGUAAUACGUAGGUGGCAAGCGUUAUCCGGAAUUAUUGGGCGUAAAGCGCGCGCAGGCGGUUUCUUAAGUCUGAUGUGAAAGCCCACGGCUCAACCGUGGAGGGUCAUUGGAAACUGGGGAACUUGAGUGCAGAAGAGAAAAGCGGAAUUCCACGUGUAGCGGUGAAAUGCGUAGAG
RNAcentral lists this ribosomal RNA (659 nucleotides) under Priestia megaterium. RNAcentral describes it as "bacterial SSU rRNA". It matches the Rfam family "Bacterial small subunit ribosomal RNA", at positions 54 to 695 of the family's 1533-position model. The record is from RNAcentral. Lineage: Bacteria; Bacillati; Bacillota; Bacilli; Caryophanales; Bacillaceae.